CAGUUCGGAUUGUAGUCUGCAACUCGACUACAUGAAGCUGGAAUCGCUAGUAAUCGCGAAUCAGAAUGUCGCGGUGAAUACGUUCCCGGGUCUUGUACACACCGCCCGUCACACCACGGAAGUUGGGGGCGCCCGAAGCCACUUAGCUAACCCUUUUGGGAAGCGAGUGUCGAAGGUGAAAUCAAUAACUGGGGUGAAGUCGUAACAAGGUAUC
This 214-nucleotide ribosomal RNA is filed under the name uncultured bacterium. Its description in RNAcentral is "partial 16S ribosomal RNA". It matches the Rfam family "Bacterial small subunit ribosomal RNA", at positions 1289 to 1500 of the family's 1533-position model. The record is from RNAcentral.